AACAUUGUACCCCAUUUCUCCUUCAGCUGCUGCUGUCUCAGGUCUGCCACCAGCUUUCCCUCAAUUGUGGAAUGACUGUUUGUACAUGUUGCCAUCUCUUGACGUCUGAACAAAAUCUGCUGUUCUCCUUUCAAUAUUUUUAAUGAGUGUCCUAUGACUAGUUUCACACAAUCAGUCCCAGAUGCUUCAGACACGUUGGAUCCUUAUGGGUCAGAGGGAAACCACACAGACUCCCAGAUCUGGAAUGAGAGUGCAGGAGAGAUGCAACAGAGGAAAAGGUCUUCACAAACCCCAGUUCCAGGAAGGAGAGAGUUUACUUGGAAGAGGAACCAGGGUUGACAGCUGCAUGGCUGUUCUCCAAAGAUCCUUUCAGAAACUUGAUUACACAGGACUGCUCUGCGUAGCAGAGAAGACCAAGAUUAGGAGAAGACAAAGAUGGCUUUGA
This 445-nucleotide long non-coding RNA is filed under the name Apteryx owenii (little spotted kiwi). RNAcentral's name for it is "lncRNA (ENSAOWG00000002068.1)". The record is from RNAcentral. Lineage: Eukaryota; Metazoa; Chordata; Aves; Apterygiformes; Apterygidae.